Molecule: long non-coding RNA, 890 nt
Organism: Eucalyptus grandis
Lineage: Eukaryota; Viridiplantae; Streptophyta; Magnoliopsida; Myrtales; Myrtaceae
Exons: 4
Source: RefSeq, a predicted model, not a curated record
GCACCUUCUCGUGGAGUCUGCUGCCGCCCUCCGAUCGACGCGCCUCCGCCUCGCCGUCGCCUUCGCCACCCCUCGCCUCCGCCUCGCCGACGCCGAAACCCUUGCCGCCGCGUGCGGCCGACCAUCGUCGACAGCUUGGGGACUGGGUUCGCUCGGCGAUCAUGGCGCUCGCUUCUCGCCUCGUUUCCAAGUUUAGAUACUCUGUGUUUGCUUCAAUUCCUGAGUGAACUGCGGCAUAUCUCACGAAGCUUGCUCGCAUCUCCGUGAAACCAUACUGAAGUGAGGAUCAUCCACGGGACAUGAUGGGUUCGGAGGUUGAAGUCUUCCUUGGUCCAGCUCCAUGCGGAAGGUGCCAUUCUUGAAAGGAGGCUAAAGUAUCUAAGGAGUUGCUCUUAUUAGAAACUUCAAAGGGUCUUGUUCAUGUAUUUUUUGCCCAACGUACGACAUCAAAGGUGCCUAAUGUCACUGACGUUGGGUUAAAACCAAGGAAGGUGAAAAAGGUUGCUGUGAUAGGUGGAGGUCUAAUGGGUUCUGGCAUUGCUACCUUAACUAAUUACUGUUGCUAAGGCCUGUGGGUUGCUCGGGGAAGGGAAACUUAGUGAGCAGUUGCAAGGGUUUAUUAUCAAGUUUGGUCUCCUGGCCAAUGCUUGUGUGGAAGCAGCUUUGCUUGAUAUGUGCACUCAUUGUGGGAGGAUGGUGGCUGCAGGAAAAAUGUUCAAACGAUGGCCUUUUGAGUGGGAUAGCUCUAUUAUUUGUACUUCUAUGAUAUGUGGGUAUGCACAAAAUGGGCUGCCGGAUGAGGCAAUAUCACUAUUUUGCCGUUGUAAAGUAGAAGGGAGCAUAAUUCUUGAUGAAAUUGCAUCAAUUUCAAUACUUGGUGUUUGUGGAAC